CCUACGGGAGGCAGCAGUCGGGAAUAUUGCGCAAUGGAGGAAACUCUGACGCAGUGACGCCGCGUGCAGGAAGAAGGUUUUCGGAUUGUAAACUGCUUUAGACAGGGAAGAAAAAAGACAGUACCUGUAGACUAAGCUCCGGCUAACUACGUGCCAGCAGCCGCGGUAAUACGUAGGGAGCAAGCGUUAUCCGGAUUUAUUGGGUGUAAAGGGUGCGUAGACGGGAAAACAAGUUAGUUGUGAAAUCCCUCAGCUUAACUGAGGAACUGCAACUAAAACUAUUUUUCUUGAGUGCUGGAGAGGAAAGUGGAAUUCCUAGUGUAGCGGUGAAAUGCUUAGAUAUUGCGCAGAACUCCGAUUGCGAAGGCAGCAUACCGGCGGCGAUCUGACGCUGAGGCACGAAAGCGUGGGUAUCGAACAGGAUUAGAUACCCGUGUAGUC
RNAcentral lists this ribosomal RNA (441 nucleotides) under uncultured bacterium. RNAcentral's name for it is "partial 16S ribosomal RNA". It matches the Rfam family "Bacterial small subunit ribosomal RNA", at positions 338 to 795 of the family's 1533-position model. The record is from RNAcentral.